CUCUCGGUGGCCAAGUUGGUUUAAGGCGCAAGACUGUAACUUGAUACAAAGAAAUCUUGAUAUCGGGCGUUCGAAUCGCCCCCGGGAGA
Molecule: non-coding RNA, 89 nt
Organism: Lachancea thermotolerans CBS 6340
Lineage: Eukaryota; Fungi; Ascomycota; Saccharomycetes; Saccharomycetales; Saccharomycetaceae
Source: Rfam